GCCAGUGUGGCACAGUGGUUUGAGUGUUGGACUACAACUCUGGAGACCAGGGUUUGAGUCCCGGCUCAGCCA
Phrynosoma platyrhinos (Desert horned lizard) is the source of this 72-nucleotide non-coding RNA. NCBI's taxonomy places the organism in Eukaryota, Metazoa, Chordata, Lepidosauria, Squamata, Phrynosomatidae. The record is from the annotation of a GenBank genome assembly.